AUUGCCCUGGGGAUUGUAAUUAACAACUUGUAAUAAUAAAGUUCAGAUUUAUACCUUUUUAAUUUUAAUAGCAUAUAUAAGCUUUAAAAAAUAUAAUUCUAUUACCUCCCUCAUAAUUUGUGCUGUUUUUGCCAUAAAGAUUACAUCUUUACAUAUUGUAUACCUAUCACUACAGUUUUUUUUUAAAUUAAGAGAUAGAGUCUCAUUCUGUCACUCAGGCUAGAGUUCAGUGGCAUGAUCAUAGCUCACUGCAGCUUUGAACUCCUAGACUCAAGUGAUUCUCUGCCUCAGCCUCCUGAAUAGCUAGGAUGGCAAGUGUGUGCCAUCAUGCCUGGUUAAUAAAAAAUUUUUUGGUAGAGACAGGGUCUCACCACGUUGCCCAGGCUAGCCUCAAACUCCUGACAUCAAGCAGUUCUCCUGCCUUAGCCUCCCAAAGUGCUAGGAUUACAGGUAUUAGCCAACACACCUGGCCUCCAUACAAUUUUAACACCAUGCAAAGAUUAGGGUUAUGCUUCUAUAAGCCAAGAAAGCACAAAAAUCUAGGAGAGAAGUUUGGGACACACUCUUUCCUACCACUCUCAGAUAAAGCAUCCAUGCCAGCCACCCUGAUCUCUGACCUGCAGACACCUUGUUCUCAGACUUCCAGCUUCCAGAACUGAUCUCACUCUAUCGCCCAGGAGAGCAGUGGCACAAUCAUAGCUCACUGCAGCCUCAAUCUCCCUGGCUCAAGCGAACUUCCUGCCUCAGCCUCCCAACAUAGCUGGGACUACAGGAACAGUGCCAGGCCACCCAUUGAAGUUACCACGUGUCAUGGCUGUGAGUGCCUUCACUACUUGGAGUAGGCUCAUUAGCAGACAACCCUCCCAGAGCCCUACGUGCAACCGGCAUCUAUAUGGUCUGUUCGGUUGGAGACUCACUCUGUUGCCAGGCUGGAACGCAGAGGUGCAAUCUCAGCUCACUGCAUCCUCCACCUCCUGGGUUCAACCAAUUCUCCUGCCUCAGCUUCCUGAGUAGCUGGGACUACAGAGAUGAGUCUCGCUAUGUUGGCCCCAGGCUGGUCUUGAACUCCUGGAUUCAAGUGAUCAUCUUGCCUCAUCGGCCUCCCAAACUGCUGGGACUACAGACAAGGGAGUGGAGGUCCAGAAGAUAUUUUUUCCAAGGCCACAAUUUCCUGGUCAUCUCUGAGACGUCGUUUGGGAGUGCCCUCAUCCUGGAAGUCGUUCUGCAUCCCGUCUUGCCUCUUACAGCCUCCACUCCCAGCUCCUACGGCCCCCGGGUAACCCCUAUUGGCACUCAUUGCCCGCCACUGCCAUUCUGCCCACACAUCUGUCUGAACACAGCCUUUCUCCAGCAGGGAUCACAUCUGCAACCUUGGUAG
RNAcentral lists this long non-coding RNA (1378 nucleotides) under Callithrix jacchus (white-tufted-ear marmoset). RNAcentral describes it as "lncRNA (ENSCJAG00000077164.1)". Lineage: Eukaryota; Metazoa; Chordata; Mammalia; Primates; Cebidae. The record is from RNAcentral.